Molecule: long non-coding RNA, 1323 nt
Organism: Brienomyrus brachyistius
Lineage: Eukaryota; Metazoa; Chordata; Actinopteri; Osteoglossiformes; Mormyridae
Exons: 6
Source: RefSeq, a predicted model, not a curated record
CAGCCUGAUGUGUGUCUCUCUGUUUCCUCUCUGUUUCCUGCCCUUUCAUCCCGACCACGACCAUGAUCUCUCACUUAGCAGCAGAGCAGUUUAUUCUAAACAGUGGAAGCACAAAAAUGUUCAGACUCUUUGGUCUUCUCAUUUUCAUUAACACUGCACUGACUACAGAUGUUGUUCAGCCCAGUCACCUGAUGAGGGUUCAGCUUGGAGACAGUGUGACCCUGACAUGCUUCUGUCAAGGAGAAACAACUUUUGUUACUUUGUUUAAGCAAGCUGUUGGUCGGAAGCCCCAGCCCAUGGCGAAAGCACUUCUCUACGUACCUGGUGAAUUUUACAAGGAAUAUAAAAGCAUAAAACGUUACUCCUUACUGAAUGCAGAGGGGAGUUUUAACCUCACUAUUUCUAACGUGGAGCCGUCAGAUUCUGCAGUGUAUUAUUGUGCUGCUGUGUUUCUUCAUGAGGUCACCUUCGGGAAUGGAACCUUUGUCAUAAUCACAGGUAAAGACUCCAACAGCAGGACUGUGGUACAGCAGCCUGUGUCUGACACAUUGCAGCCAGGAGACUCUGUGAGCCUGCAGUGUACGAUAGAGACUGGGAGCUGUGCAGGAGAACACAGUGUUUACUGGUUCAGACAUGGAUCAGGAGAAUCCCUUCCUGGAGUCAUUUACAGCCAUGGAAACAGCAGUGAUGAGUGUGAGAAGAGCCCUGAGGCUGGAUCUCCUACACGGAGCUGCGUCUACAGCCUCCCCAAGGGGAACCUCAGCCUCUCCGAUGCUGGGACUUACUACUGCGCUGUGGCCAUGUGUGGGGAGAUGCUGUUUGGGAACGGCACAUAGCUGGAUAUAGAUGGCUUUCAGAAGCUGCUGGAUCCUCUUCACUCUGGCUUGCUGAUAGUUUUAUCUUGCAGCAUUAUUCUGAACGUUGCUCUCAUUUGUAUAAGAUGUAAACUGACCUGUACACACUGUGCAGAUGAAAAGAACAGUGAUAUAUCAAAAGUGGAAUGGUCACGCAAGCAAUGCCAUGACGAGGACACACUGAAUUACGCUGCCCUGAACCUUAAGAAGCCAAAACCCAGGAGACAGAAGAAAGACGGGAAUAAUGACACUCUGUAUUCUGACCUCCGCUACAGAGAUUAUGAAUAAAGAUGCUUCUCAUUCAUGUCAGUCACACAGAGUGUUCAGGGUGUAGCUUUAAUAAUGUUCAGAGGAGGGCAGGGGAGCCAGUGCUUCUGAGACUGAAUCACGGGAUUUUACGGAGCACCGGUGCUGAGUUUGGUGUCAGUGUGUUUGGGGCGCAUUUUUACUGGAAGUGCAAAUGUUCAAG